AGGCAGUGGGAUGUUCGGCUGUCUGUGGCGCAGUCUGCCGUGUUGUGCGAUAUAGCCGCUGGACCGACUAAACGGUGGGUUGUGUGACUGUCUGAAGCCUAUUCAGCUCCAGUCGUCGCCCAUUUGCCGGCCCAGUGUGUUUUCGCCCAAUCGGCGGCUGUUGCAUUAACUGCAGCCGGGGCCCCUGCUGGUCCGGUGUGUUUUCGCCCAGCCGGUGGCUUGUCUGCGCGCCUGGUGUUCGUGCACUCGGCUGUCUGUUCGGGGCUGCGUUGGGCCUGCGGGUGCUCAUGUGUCUGGUCUGGUCCGCUGGCCUGGGGCGUGUCGCGGCUUAGCUGGGGGCCCGACGGGUCAUAAAUUUAAAAGAAGGUUGCUGAGAAGCAGCAACGGUUACUAACAAGUAUUAACAAAUUGCUGAGAAGCAGCAAUUAAAAGGGGUUGCUGAGAAGCAGCAACUGUUACUAACAGGUAUUAGAGUAGAAAAUUGCUGAGAAGCAGCAAUGGUUACUAACAAGUAUUAACAAAUUGCUGAGAAGCAGUAAUUAAAAGGGGUUGCUGAGAAGCAGCAACUGUUACUAACAGGUAUUAGAGUAGAAAAUUGCUGAGAAGCAGCAAUGAGUAGAAGGUUGCUGAGAAGCAGCAAUGGUUACUAACAAGUAUUAACAAAUUGCUGAGAAGCAGCAAUUAAAAGGGGUUGCUGAGAAGCAGCAACUGUUACUAACAGGUAUUAGAGUAGAAAAUUGCUGAGAAGCAGCAAUUAAAAGAAGAGUAGAGAAUUGCUGGGAAGCGGCAACAAGUACUAACAAUUUGCUGGGAAGCGGCAAUUAAAGUAGGUCACUGAAAAGCCUACGGGAUGGUGACCCUGGCCAGAAAUGUGUGAAUGCUCCGGCGCUGGUGUGAAUGAGAAGUGAGUUUUGUGAGUCUUAAGUGCUUUGUCAGUCUUACAUGUUGUCUUGUGUAUUGUCUUGUGCGCAAAGGUGACCUAACAAUUUAAUUUGCACAGGGUGUUAAUAUGAACAGGGGCCCCACUAGUUCAACAGCACUGUAAAAAAGGAAUGUGUAAUAAUGGUAUUGGUGUGAAGGUUUGAAGUUCAGGAACACAACGGCUGUUCCUUACAAGGGGAAGUAGGCCAUAUUACUGAAGGUUUCACGUAUAUGAGUAUAUGUGCUAGAAUAUAAAUAAUAUUAUUUAACCACGCUAGCAUAACAAAACAAAUGCACAAUCCUUUGUGGAGAUUGGGGUGCGGCCUUGAGAUCGGCCUGUGCCUGCUGGGCCGUGUCACCCUCGCCAUUGUUCUGCUUUUGUAAUCACUUAUAACGCAUGUGUGUGUGUAUAUGUGUGUAUAUAUAUAUAUAUAUGUGUGUGUGUAUGUGUAUGUACGUAUAUAUGUACAUAUUCAUGUUUUAAGAAGGUAGCGGGGAAAUGUAUGAUAUUUUUGUGAUUGCAUGCGUGCUUUGUUAUUUAGACUACAAAAUUCAUGAAGCGUACGAUCACACCCGUCAUAGUCAUGGUCUGACAGUGUGUAAGAGGCGCAAUAUAUAUAUAUAUAUAUAUAGUAAUCCUGAAAAAUUUAAAUUAAGUGCUGUGGCCACAAAGGAUCAGAAUUGAUCCUAUCUAAGAUUACUAGCUGAAGUGUUGAUCAUGCUGAUUCACUCAUUAUCCAAAAGAGCAAACAGAGCAAUUUUCGAAAAACAUUUUGUGUUUAAAUUUUAGUGACGAUUCUGACUGCAGCAACGAGGGGAUUUUAACUGAAAAGUGGGUAUAUGAGACGCGUAGAUUGAACAGACUGUGUGUUUACUGUAGACAAAAAGCAGUGGAACGCAAUACGCAGUGCAAACUUACACAGGAUUGUGUUAGUGGACACAGCAUACGCGGCAUUGUGAAGAAAAUCAACUCAAAAGGUUGUUGUAAUUUGCCUCAAUAACUGUCAUAUGGGGACAUAGAAACACAAGGGAUUAGGACACAUUUUUGGCUAGACCUAUUUAGACUCAGAGGGAGUUGAGCACCGACAGGACACACUGCUGAUUAAUUUAAAGUUUUGGCAGCUUACUAAGUGGGUUAAUUUGAGGCAGGUUCAGACAGGUUUUCCAGACGUGCAGUGGUUAUCGCUAUUGUGACAACUGUGGACGGCAGGAACGUUGGGAUUAGAGAGUGUAGCGACCCUACCGCUUGCAUCACACUUGGGGAUACCAAAGGGAUUUGCUACUGCAGGAUGGGAAGACUGUUGUUGAAUCUGCGACUGUUAUGGUUAGCCCAAGAAGGGUUAAGUGGGAGACAGGUGAGUGGGCAGACAUUAAAAGGGUGAAAGGGUCUGAUAAUUCAGAAACACUGACCUUUGAGCAAGAAAAUAUAAAGCUGGGGUCACAGUUGGAUAGAUUAAAAGCAGAAUUAGAAUAGCAGGAAAAUAAUACUAAAAAGGGAGGCAGGAUAUAUGUGUUGUUUGUCAAAGU
Long non-coding RNA from Anguilla rostrata (American eel), 2448 nucleotides. RefSeq lists it as uncharacterized. The record is from RefSeq and is a predicted model, not a curated record. Lineage: Eukaryota; Metazoa; Chordata; Actinopteri; Anguilliformes; Anguillidae. The transcript has 3 exons.